CGCCUCAAAAAGGAUCUUCCAUACCCAUGUUUGUAUCCAACUACAUUUACGAAGUUGGAUACAAACAUGGGUACGGAAGAUCCUUUUUGAGGUGCAUUCACGAGGCAGUGAAACAAAGGACCCAGGACCAACAACUUAAUAGAAUUCAUUUAGACCAGCAUUUGAGCUUUCUAUUGGUUCCGUACUGUUACUCUACCAUGCUGUUUACGAGAAAACUAGCCAGACAGGCUGAUAAAAGAAUAACGGUUAAGAGAGCCCUUAUGGUAUUUAAUGCCAUACGGAACGAUAAAGAACCUAGAGAUAGAUUAGAAUGAACAGGGGUAUAUACCAUACUGGUUACUGAAAACCAAACCAACCAACGAACAUCCUAUGUGGGCAUAACCGCAAGAACACUAGGGCAGCGUAUUGAAGAACAUAAAAGGGACAUACAGAAAGCAAAAAUGACAACCGCCCUAUCCCUAAAAGCGUAUGAAAAUGAUAUAACCAUACAUUGGGAAGAAGC
RNAcentral lists this long non-coding RNA (502 nucleotides) under Androctonus crassicauda. The record is from RNAcentral. Lineage: Eukaryota; Metazoa; Arthropoda; Arachnida; Scorpiones; Buthidae.